RNAcentral lists this long non-coding RNA (2641 nucleotides) under Gallus gallus (chicken). RNAcentral's name for it is "lncRNA (ENSGALG00010028830.1)". Lineage: Eukaryota; Metazoa; Chordata; Aves; Galliformes; Phasianidae. The record is from RNAcentral.
CCUCACAGCCCACUUAGCAGAGCUAGAGGCAGUAUAAAAGUUGCUUGGUUCUGUAGUCCAUCACUCGCUCAGAGUUGCGCUGUUGAACGUGUCAUCAGAACCAAGAAGGGGCCACUGCACAGAGAUGUGUUCCCGACAGAGCUCCGGAGGCUGCCACGAGUCAUCUUCCCAGUCCGGGGGAUGCUGCAGUGGGGGCAGCUCCUCCAGCUACCAGGCACAGGGCUCCUCCUGCUGCGGGGGCUCCUCGGGAUACAGCAUGGGAGGAGGAUACAGCGGUGGCAGUGGGGGAUCGAGCCAGAAGAUCAUCAUUAGCUCAGGAGGAGGAGGAGGAGGUUCGUCUGGAUGCUGUGGUGGAGGAUCCAGCAGUGGUGGGUCUUCAGGAGGCAAGAUAAUCAUUGGAGGAGGUGGAAGUAGUGGGGGAUCCUCUGGGUGCUGCAGUGGAGGCUCCUCGGGCUACGGAAUAGGAGGAGGAUACAGCAGUGGUGGUUACUCGGGAUCCAAGAGCAUCAUUGGAGGAGGUGGAAGCAGUGGUGGAUCCUCUGGAUGCUGUGGUGGAGGAUCCAGCAGUGGUGGCUCUUCAGGUGGCAAGAUCAUAAUUACUGGAGGUGGGAGCAGUGGGGGAUCCUCUGGGUGCUGCAGUGGAGGCUCCUCGAGCUACGGCAUGGGAGGAGGAUACAGCAGUGGUGGUUACUCAGGCUCCAAGAGCAUCAUUGGAGGUGGGAGCAGUGGUGGAUCCUCUGGAUGCUGUGGUGGAGGAUCCAGCAGUGGUGGGUCUUCAGGUGGCAAGAUCAUAAUUACUGGAGGUGGGAGCAGUGGGGGAUCCUCUGGGUGCUGCAGUGGAGGCUCCUCGGGCUACGGAAUAGGAGGAGGAUACAGCAGUGGUGGUUACUCGGGCUCCAAGAGCAUCAUUGGAGGAGGUGGAAGCAGUGGUGGAUCCUCUGGUUGCUGUGGUGGGGGAUCCAGCAGUGGUGGGUCUUCAGGUGGCAAGAUCAUAAUUACAGGAGGUGGAAGCAGUGGGGGAUCCUCUGGGUGCUGCAGUGGAGGCUCCUCAGGCUACGGAAUAGGAGGAGGAUACAGCAGUGGUGGUUACUCGGGAUCCAAGAGCAUCAUUGGAGGAGGUGGAAGCAGUGGUGGAUCCUCUGGAUGCUGUGGUGGAGGAUCCAGCAGUGGUGGCUCUUCAGGUGGCAAGAUCAUAAUUACUGGAGGUGGGAGCAGUGGGGGAUCCUCUGGGUGCUGCAGUGGAGGCUCCUCGAGCUACGGCAUGGGAGGAGGAUACAGCAGUGGUGGUUACUCAGGCUCCAAGAGCAUCAUUGGAGGUGGGAGCAGUGGUGGAUCCUCUGGUUGCUGUGGUGGAGGAUCCAGCAGUGGUGGGUCUUCGGGAGGCAAGAUCAUCAUUGGAGGAGGUGGAAGCAGUGGGGGAUCCUCUGGGUGCUGCAGUGGAGGCUCCUCGGGCUACGGAAUAGGAGGAGGAUACAGCAGUGGUGGUUACUCAGGCUCCAAGAGCAUCAUUGGAGGAGGUGGAAGCAGUGGGGGAUCCUCUGGUUGCUGUGGUGGGGGAUCCAGCAGUGGUGGCUCUUCAGAAGGAAAGAUCAUCAUUACUGGAGGUGGGAGCAGUGGGGGAUCCUCUGGAUGCUGUAGUGGGGGAUCCAGCUAUGGAAUGGGUGGAGGAUCUAGUGGUGGUUAUUCAGGAUCCAAGAGCAUCAUUGGAGGUGGAAGCAGUGGAGGUUCCUCUGGAUGCUGCGGUGGUGGCUCUUCUGGCUAUGGCUCUUCUGGCUAUGGCUCUUCCAGCUAUGGCAGUGGGGGAUCAGGCCAGAAGAUCAUCAUUAGCUCUGGAGGUGGAGGAGGUGGCUCAUCUGGAUGCUGUGGUGGGGGAUCCAGCAGUGGUGGAUCUUCCGGAGGCAAGAUCAUCGUUGGAGGAGGUGGAAGCAGUGGGGGAUCCUCUGGAUGCUGCGGUGGGGGAUCCAGUGGGGGCAGUGGCGGUUCCUCGGGCCACACCAUCAUCAUCAGCUCCGGAGGAGGCAGUGGUGGGUACGGCCAGUCCUCGCAGCAGAAAUGCCCCAUUGUCAUUCCUCACAUCGAGAGCCACCAGACCAAGCAGGCCUGCUACUUUCCUGGCCAGCAGAAGUGACCGCCCCCGACAGCGCAGCACUCAGCAGGAACAGCCCUGCCUCUGUUUUCCAUGUUUGUCUGCUUCCCCACCAUGUGUCCUCUUCUCAAUCCUUGAUGCUCCAUUACUAUGCCAUGAACUCUGGGCUUAACAACCUUUUGCUCCGUGCUGGUGUUGUGAUUUCUUUGGUCAAAUUGUGCUCCAUUUUCAGUAAGGAUUUGUAGUACCUAAUAAAUAUCACGACAUCACAAUGUAGAUUUAUUUUUGAGUUUCUUUUUUUCUUGCUUUCUCACACAGCAUCUCAUCAUCUCAGAAGCAGGAAAUGUAUCUGAUAAGUUAUCAGACUCCCUGACUGAGAUGUUCUGCAGUGCAUCAUCACAGCUCUAAAGCCAAUGCACCAUAGAGUCUAGAAGGCUGCUGCACCUUUUCUUUUCCUCUGGGCUCCAAAGUAGAGCAACAACACAUCCUAAAGCAUCAAACACCCACAGCUCCCAGCAUCCCCUUGACUCCUGUGUUGGUGGUGCCCUUUCACUG